RNAcentral lists this ribosomal RNA (497 nucleotides) under uncultured bacterium. RNAcentral's name for it is "partial 16S ribosomal RNA". It matches the Rfam family "Bacterial small subunit ribosomal RNA", at positions 28 to 507 of the family's 1533-position model. The record is from RNAcentral.
GAUGAACGCUGGCGGCGUGCCUAAUACAUGCAAGUCGAGCGAACAGAUGAGGAGCUUGCUCCUCUGACGUUAGCGGCGGACGGGUGAGUAACACGUGGAUAACCUACCUAUAAGACUGGGAUAACUUCGGGAAACCGGAGCUAAUACCGGAUAAUAUAUUGAACCGCAUGGUUCAAUAGUGAAAGACGGUUUUGCUGUCACUUAUAGAUGGAUCCGCGCCGCAUUAGCUAGUUGGUAAGGUAACGGCUUACCAAGGCAACGAUGCGUAGCCGACCUAAGAGGGUGAUCGGCCACACUGGAACUGAGACACGGUCCAGACUCCUACGGGAGGCAGCAGUAGGGAAUCUUCCGCAAUGGGCGAAAGCCUGACGGAGCAACGCCGCGUGAGUGAUGAAGGUCUUCGGAUCGUAAAACUCUGUUAUUAGGGAAGAACAAAUGUGUAAGUAACUAUGCUCGUCUUGACGGUACCUAAUCAGAAAGCCACGGCUAACUACGUG